RNAcentral lists this ribosomal RNA (253 nucleotides) under uncultured bacterium. RNAcentral's name for it is "partial 16S ribosomal RNA". It matches the Rfam family "Bacterial small subunit ribosomal RNA", at positions 524 to 776 of the family's 1533-position model. The record is from RNAcentral.
UACGGAGGGUGCAAGCGUUAAUCGGAAUUACUGGGCGUAAAGAGCACGUAGGCGGCGUAGUCAGUCUGAUGUGAAAGCCCUGGGCUUAACCUAGGAAUGGCAUUGGAUACUGCUAAGCUAGAGUGUGACAGAGGGUGGUGGAAUUCCCGGUGUAGCGGUGAAAUGCAUAGAGAUCGGGAGGAACAUCGAUGGCGAAGGCAGCCACCUGGGUCAACACUGACGCUGAGGUGCGAAAGCGUGGGGAGCAAACAGG